UUAAUUGAAACCAAAUAGAGGUUAAUUACUGUUAAUAAUUAUAUUGAGAUCAAUUUUAAUUAUCUCCAAUUAAA
RNAcentral lists this transfer RNA (74 nucleotides) under Lasius spathepus. Its description in RNAcentral is "tRNA-Asn". The record is from RNAcentral. Lineage: Eukaryota; Metazoa; Arthropoda; Insecta; Hymenoptera; Formicidae.